This 1005-nucleotide unclassified non-coding RNA is filed under the name Hevea brasiliensis (rubber tree). The record is from RNAcentral. Lineage: Eukaryota; Viridiplantae; Streptophyta; Magnoliopsida; Malpighiales; Euphorbiaceae.
CAUUUGCCUUUUAUUUGAAAAGAAACAUCUUUUAAUUGUAGCGUGCUAAUGCCUCAAUAGAACACAAUAAAAGAAAAAAAAUGUGCAUAGUUAUAACAUAAAAAAAAUCGAAUUGAACAUACAGAAGAGCACUAACAACAUCACGCAUAAAAAUUCUGAGCAAAAGUAACAAGAGAAACCACUUGUCCAAAACAAUAACUAUCUAAGAGAACAAGAAUACCAAGGAUAAGACAUACAACAUGUGUAAGUGCUAAUAGGAGUAAGUAUCUGAAAGAACUGGUCCCAAAGUAAUAGCAGAAGGUGAACACACCUCUUGGUAUAGUACCACUCCCACAAGAUACCUCCAAUGAGAAGACGGUUACAAGAAAUCUCUAGUCAAACAAAAGGACUAUUUUUUCUUCCAUACUAGGUAUGAUCUAACAUCACAGAAAUUUCACAUUUUCCAUCCAAGAAUUCUAAUACCAAUUUGAACUUCGGAGUGACCUCGCCGGAGACGUUGCUUCUCAUUUGUUUGCUCUGUUGCUGCUCCAUCACUUUCAUGCUUGGUAACAGGGCCAGGCUGGUGAAGCUCUUCCUCCGGAAUAGUAACAGGCCAUUUAUGUCCAGCUUGACGGAACAUUUGCUCAGUCUCAAUGAGCUGACCCUUCUCCAAAAUUAUGUUUCUCAACGUCUGGGCAGAAACAGUAGCGCCGUCAAAAACCUCCUCGACUCCAUUGACAAAAGUGACGGUGAUUUGUGGAGGGUGAUCAUCGAUUCGGCGCUUGACCAAAACCUGGCAAGCGGGGUUCGAUUCCUUGGCCUUGCGGGCGUUGCAUUGGGCUAAGAAUUCCAUACAAGAGGCUAUACGAGGGUCUCGCCCAUUGAACUCAAUCCGCACCUUUGAUAGAAACUUCAGCAUCUUCUUGUCUCCGCUGCUCACCAAUUGUAUUUGGUAAAUGAACCAAGAUUUAGAGCAGCUUUAGAUCCUCUCAUGGAGUUCUGGUCCGUUGAACCGGUGCUUUUUUU